RNAcentral lists this unclassified non-coding RNA (531 nucleotides) under Hevea brasiliensis (rubber tree). The record is from RNAcentral. Lineage: Eukaryota; Viridiplantae; Streptophyta; Magnoliopsida; Malpighiales; Euphorbiaceae.
GGGGUUUAACGAAAAAGGCAUGCUGGGCUACAAGCAUUGAUACAAUAGUUGCAAAUGGUUUCUCUAUCCACUUGGUUUCGAUACAUAGCUCACAAGUUCGAGUAUUCCCUCUCUCUCAGCUGGAAGAGCUAUAAGAGAGGUCAAAUCAGUGACAGAGAAGUUGGUGAUGCAGUAUGGAAAAAUCUAUUUCAGGGGAGGUUGACUUAUUUACACUGGAAUAAAGGACAAGAAAUGACUCCAACAAUAGGAGAUCAAGGGGGAACUCUACUUGUUCGGAAAUUACCAGCUGCAGAUCCAACGCGAGUUUUUGUUGGAGAUGUUGUGGUUGUGAAGGAUCCUGAGAAUUCAGACAACUAUCUAGUCAGAAGGUUAGCUGCGAUUGAAGGGUAUGAAAUGUUGUCUACUGAUGAGAAGGAUGAACCUUUUGUUCUUGAAAAGGAUCAGUGUUGGGUUUUGGCUGACAAUGAGAAGUUGAAGCCCACGGAAGCAAACGACAGUCGAAUAUUGGGUCCAGUUCCCAUGACGGACAUA